CCUGCAAGUCAGACAUAAAAGCUCAGCUCUAACCUACCUUUGACUCAUCAGAUCUCCUCAACUCAGCUUCUCAAAAUGAGGCUCCCUGCUCAGCUCCUGGGGCUGUUAUUCCUCUGGAUCCCUGGAACCAGUGGGGAUAUUGUGAUGACCCAGACUCCUCUCUCUGAGCCCGUCACCCCUGGACAGCCAGCCUCCAUCUCCUGCAGGUCCAGUCAGAGCCUCCUACACAGUAAUGGAAACACAUAUUUGCACUGGGUUGUGCACAAGCCAGGCCAGGCUCCACGGGGUCUAAUAUAUCUUGUAUCCAACCGCUACACUGGGGUCCCAGACAGGUUCAGUGGCAGUGGGUCACGGACAGAUUUCACACUGAGAAUCAGCAGGGUGGAGCCUGAGGAUGCUGGGGUGUAUUACUGCUGGCAAGGUAUACAAGCUCCGCUCACGUUCGGUGGCGGGACCAAGUUGGAGAUGAAACGGGACGUGGCUAGACCAAGUGUCUCCAUCUUCCCACCGUCUUCGGAGCAGUUGCAGUCCGGAGGGGCCACGGUCGUGUGCUUUGUGAAUGACUUCUACCCCAGAGACAUCAACGUGAAGUGGAAGGUGGACAACGCCUAUUACAACAGCAAUAUCCAGAACAGCUUCACGGAGCAGAACUCCAAGGACAGCACGUACAGCCUCAGCAGCACCCUGUCGCUGACCAGCUCAGAGUACAACAAUCACAAGAGCUAUACCUGCGAGGUCAGCCACAGCAGCCUGUCCUCGCCCAUCACCAAGACGGUCAAAAGGAACGAGUGCUAGAGUCAGAGGCCGCGCCCUCCCGCCGCAGGCCUGGGCCCUCUCCCCACGAGGGACCCACCCCAGUUGCAGUCCUCCUGCCCCUCCCCACCUCACCCCUCCUCCUCCUUGGCUUGAAUCAGCUGGUAAUGGGGGAACAACAAAUAAAAUCAAUCUUUGCACCUGA
Molecule: non-coding RNA, 958 nt
Organism: Marmota monax (woodchuck)
Lineage: Eukaryota; Metazoa; Chordata; Mammalia; Rodentia; Sciuridae
Source: the annotation of a RefSeq genome assembly